GCCAUAUCAAGUUGAAUCACCGGUUCUCAUUCGAACAACCAAGUCAAGCAACAUCGAGCCUGGUUAGUACGUAGCUAGGUUACCGCUUAGAAAUACCAGGUAC
This is a non-coding RNA of Acanthosepion pharaonis, 103 nucleotides long. The record is from the annotation of a GenBank genome assembly. Lineage: Eukaryota; Metazoa; Mollusca; Cephalopoda; Sepiida; Sepiidae.